Molecule: ribosomal RNA, 253 nt
Filed under: uncultured bacterium
Lineage: Bacteria
Also listed under: 1 other name
Description: partial 16S ribosomal RNA
Rfam family: Bacterial small subunit ribosomal RNA
Source: RNAcentral
UACAGAGGUGGCAAGCGUUGUUCGGAAUUACUGGGCGUAAAGGGCGUGUAGGCGGCUUUUUAAGUCAGACGUGAAAUCCCCCGGCUUAACCUGGGAACUGCGUCUGAUACUGGGAAGCUAGAGUUCGGGAGAGGGAUGUAGAAUUCCAGGUGUAGCGGUGAAAUGCGUAGAUAUCUGGAGGAAUACCGGUGGCGAAGGCGGCAUCCUGGACCGAAACUGACGCUUAAGCGCGAAAGCUAGGGGAGCAAACGGG